This 626-nucleotide ribosomal RNA is filed under the name uncultured bacterium. RNAcentral describes it as "bacterial SSU rRNA". The stretch from base 1 to 544 matches the Rfam family "Bacterial small subunit ribosomal RNA", at positions 338 to 873 of the family's 1533-position model. The record is from RNAcentral.
CCUACGGGAGGCAGCAGUAGGGAAUCUUCCACAAUGGGCGAAAGCCUGAUGGAGCAACGCCGCGUGAGUGAUGAAGGCCUUCGGGUUGUAAAACUCUGUCAUUCGGGACGAACCGGAGUCUGAGGAAAUGCAGACUCUCUGACGGUACCGGAGGAGGAAGCCCCGGCUAACUACGUGCCAGCAGCCGCGGUAAUACGUAGGGGGCAAGCGUUGUCCGGAUUCACUGGGCGUAAAGCGCGCGCAGGCGGUGAUGUAAGUCUGAGGUGAAAACCCGAAGCUCAACUUCGGGACUGCCUUGGAUACUGCGUCACUUGAGGAUAGGAGAGGCAAGGGGAAUUCCACGUGUAGCGGUGAAAUGCGUAGAGAUGUGGAGGAACACCUGUGGCGAAGGCGCCUUGCUGGCCUAUUUCUGACGCUGAGGCGCGAAAGCGUGGGGAGCAAACAGGAUUAGAUACCCUGGUAGUCCACGCUGUAAACGAUGAGUGCUAGGUGUAGGUGGGCUCAUACCCAUCUGUGCCGAAGCUGACGCAUUAAGCACUCCGCCCUGGGGAGUACGGUCGCGAGACGAGAACGACGAAGAAGUAGACGGACGNGAGGAGNGCCGAGGCGACGACGAGGGGAGUAGG